UUUUUGCUUCUUUUUUUUAUCUCUUU
Molecule: small RNA, 26 nt
Filed under: Arabidopsis thaliana (thale cress)
Lineage: Eukaryota; Viridiplantae; Streptophyta; Magnoliopsida; Brassicales; Brassicaceae
Description: ATSL141290
Source: RNAcentral